UGGAGCUAAAUUCAGCUGAAUUUGAAGCUCAAGGGACGAUUUCUAGAAGAGCAAAUGCACUUGGAGAAAUGGCAGCAGCUAGGUUCAGCCAAUUGAGCUUAAAUGAGCUCAUUAAAAUGUAAUUCUUGGCUGAAAAGAGACCAGCAUUAAAGGUGAACGUGAACAGCCUUGAAGGUGUGAAAAAGGAGUUGGAAAAGUCUUUGGAAGUGUGAACAAUGAUCAGCCAAAUGGUCCUUGGUGUGAACUCCAAAUGUGAACGCAUAGGUGCUAUUUUGGGAAGUGUAUCGGCCAGCUUUUGGAGAAUGAAUUUAGUUGCUCUUCUUGGCUGAAUUAACACCUUGAAUUAUCAUAAAAUGAGCCAUAUCCAUGAAUCCAACCAUUCAUGUAUUCAGCCAUUCAUGUAUAGUCCCAUACGUUGUAUUGAACCAUUCAUGCACUUGGACUUUAAUGCUCCUUCAUGCAUUCAGCCAUCCUACAAGAAAAAAAACAUGAACUAAAUUAAGUGCAAAUGUAUAUUCGGCUGAACUAAAUGGUAUUAAGACAAAUUAAAUAUAAUCCAGCCACCUAAUUAAAUUGGCUAACACAACAUAAUUAUAACAUGUAAUAAGCUGACAAGUAAUUAAGAGCUGUAACUAAAUUAACUAAUUAACUUAAAUAAUUAAUUUAUUCCAGCAAAUAAAAUUAAUUUAGCUAAAGAGCUAAUAAUGAGCUGAAUUGAAUUUAAACCAAGCUCAAACGAGCUGAAUUAAGCUCAUGUGAGCUAAAAUAAAAUUCGGUGAGCUGAACCAAGCUAAAUGGAGCUUGAGGAGCUGAAUUCAAGCUGAAAUCAAGGGCAUCCUUGGCCAGGGUCGUAUCAUUCCCCCCUUCUUUAGAACGACUUGUCCUCAAGUCGAGCCGUUGGUUCACUCGAUCAUAGCUCCGCUUACUCAUCUUUCCUCGAUCAAACAGAAUCGAACACUAAUAAAAUAAACCACCAAACUAUUUUGUUACAUCUUCACCAUACAAAGUCUCAUCAAACGAAGGAAUUAUUUAAAUGAGUAAUCACAAAUCAUCAAGAAUUCAUUUGAGCAAAUAUGUGGCCCAAGUACCAUUUGGGUAGAACAUUCAUAAUCCUUGCAAGAAGGUAUUUUCCAAAUUUCAUACCCACAAUUGAUUGAACAAAGCUUUUUGCAAGUUAUGAUUUUACCACUUAAUCGGCUUAAAUCUUGCAUAGUUAAGCUUAACAGUGGCCAUUGAUCUUUCACCUUUUAAACAAACUUGUCAUCAAGGAGAAUCUUACCAAAAAUUUUCAAGAGACAUGUGGACACAUUCAACUUAAUCCGUUCAUCGAUCAAGCAGAUAAACUCCUCACCACAACUUAUUGAACACAAAUUUUUAUCACAAACAGAUGAAUGCACAGUAAAACCUUGCAAUGGAAAUUGAACGAUUGGUUCUUCCAAAAUCGCAUCAUCAGCAUCAAUACAAACAGAUGAUUCAUUUUUAAAUAAAGCUGAACAGUUAAACACAUCACAAUUUAAAUUCCUUGCAACAACCAAUUCUUCAACAAAAAUUUUAUUACCAACCGAAUAGGGCAGAGAAAUUUUAAAGUUAUCGUAAGUCAUAUCUUGUUUACCUCGAGGGAUGGAAAAGCAAGGAUCAUUUUUACCUUUGUCGAUCAUCAUAAAUCUUCUCUCCUCGGAAAUGUAGUCUAGUCGAAUCUCUGUGGCUGAAUUAACCUUAACGAAAUGAAAUACGAAUUUCAAAUACAACCACAAAAAUGGAUUAAGGAAUGAAUUUAAAUUGAAAUCAAAUUUUUCAUACCUCAGUUCCUUAUUCAACACCCAAUUAUCAAAACAAUAGAAAUUGUUCACACAAAAUUGAUGAAGCUUGACUUUCCCAUAAAACGAACCAAAAUAGAUUCCGGGUUUAAAAACUUGAUUUUGAGUAUUCAUGCCAAAAUGUAGCAAAAAUUUCAUUAAACCAAACACGUUAAACCAAUGGGAUUUUUGCAUACAAAGGGACAAACAAUUAAAACUUUUUACAUUCAUCAAUUCAUACUUGUACAAAUUCAUGGAUUUUCCACAAAGCGUUAAUUGGUGCACAAAAUUGUCACAAAUGAAAAAUUUAAUCGCCUUUCGUGAAAAACCGUCAUCACGCAAAAUUAAAUCUUUGGUUUGUUGAUUGGAACAAAAAUCAACCACAUUCAGGGAGUAGCAAUUAAUCAGACCAAAAUAAGGAGAGCGUUUAGAAAUUAAGUCACUAAAAAGUAUUUCAACAAUUUUCAAACCUGGUGGUCGUGACUCGAUCGUUAACAUUUCCUCACCUCUCUUACCUUUGAACUCUUGGGGCACGUUUUCAUCUUCAACCUUACCUAUACUGACCAUAUGAAAAUGUCUUUCAUCGGAAAGGUAGUGAAGUUGAAAAUUAUCGUUUGAUAUCUCGGGCACCUGGAAAGAAGAAACAGAACAAGAACAAGUUUCAUAUGGAUUAGUCGAAAUGCUCCUCACUUUUUCUGGUUCGUUUAUCUCUUUUUCUCUUGUUUCUUUUCUAAUCUCAACUUCUUUUUUUCUCUUUUCAUUUCCUCUCUCAUUUUCAAUUUUAUUUUCGACCUCACUCUCUUUUUGGAUUUCUUUUUCUUUUUCAAUCUUUUCUUCUUUUCUUUCGAUUUCUCUUUCUCGCUUGCACUCUUGUUCAAUCUUAAUUUCUUUUUUGAAUUCUUUCUCUUCAUUUUCUUUUUCUCUCACUUUUUUGAUUUCUUGUUCCUUUUCUUUCAUUUCUUUUUUUCGUCUCUCGAUUUCAUUCCAUAUAUGCUCAUUUUCUCUCAUCAACAUUUCUUGUCUUUCUUUUCUUCUUAUUUCUUUUUCUUUUUGCCUCGCUCUUUCAUUAUAGGAUGGAGAUGUUGCAAAAGAAUCAGCACAAAAUGACUCUUGUUGGGUAUAAUUAGAAUGACUUUCAUACAAAAAAUGAUCACCUCUUCGAGAUUGAUUCUUGGCGGACGAAUACCUUGGUGCAUAUGAAGGACUACUUGUGAUUCCUCGUUCGUCACCUUGAAAAGCUUCAAACUCAAAACUUGCUUUGCUUCGUCUUGAGUUCCUCGUUGAAUAGAAAUCCCGAUAAGAAUCUCUUAGCGAAUAGUCUUUGGACGCGUAUUGCCGUGAUGAUCUCGACUCCGUUUCUCGACUUGGUGGAUUUUGUUUCCGUUGGGACUUUUCCUCCACUCGGUUCAAACGUCUUUUUAAUGGGCUUAGUUUUUCCUCCAAAAUUCGGCCCAUCUCGUUCACCAAGUAUUGAAAUUCAUCAGUAGAGAAUUCUUCUUGAGACAUGAUUUAAUUACUAAAAAAAAUGAUUAAAACAAAACAAAAAUUAAAUACCUCACCACAAAAAUCUCACGUUUCACUCACAAAGAAAAUUGGAUAACACUCCACUCGUGUUUACACUUGUUUAAUGGCUUUUGCUCGCUCUAAUGUACUCACCACUCGUGCCUUUUUCCGCUCGUCUCACUCUCGUGAAUUCGUAUUUUGUUUCAAGAAGACUUAUUGCGGCUUAGAGGGUCGGCUUCAAAUGGGUUACAAGGGAUAACAUCGGGUGUAGGGUAGGCUAAACAAAGAAAAUAAAAAUCAAAGUAUGUGUGGCGUUUUGGGGGGGUAAAUAAUGGUAGGAAGGGAAACUUGAUGAUCGGAGUAAAUAAGAGAAGAAAAUAAAAACUCACAAGACUUUUCACUUUUUUUUUAAACUUGAUUUUUUUUGCUCACCUUUUUUUUUCUUUUCUUUUUUGAAUUUUUUUUUCAAUCAAUUUUUUUUUCGAAUUUUUUUUCUUUUUUUUUCUUCAAUACUAAAUACAAAAAGUAAAAAUAAAUUGAAUCCAAACUUUUUUUUUGAAUUUUUUUUUCAAGUUUUUUUUUAUUUUUUUUACAAUACCGUAAUACCGAUAACGUCGAUCUUACUCCGAUUCAGCUGGAUCUGAUACCAAAUGAUGUGAUCCGGCCCGGAUUAAUUGAGUCGUUUCACGUAAUUUCCCGAUCGUCGACGAGGAAUAGUUGAGUUAUCGAAAAUAGGAUGAAAUAAGGCUAAAGAUGCGGAAGCUUUCAAAUGGUUUUAAAGGUUGGCUAAGGUGAUGGUAAAUUUAUAAGGGUAGUAGGCUCGAUUUAAGGAUAAAAAUAAGAAAAAUGGAAGUUGAUAAAUGAAAGCUCAGUUUUGUAAAAAGAUAUUAUAGUUGGGUAAAAUCUAGGAUAGUCGGUGGAAUGGAUAAAUGAGCUUAAACGCCAGAAACGAUUCAACACUAAAAAGUGUCACCCCGAUUUCUAUUCGGUUCAAGGUGGGAUUGCGGAAUUGUAGAAGGUUGAACGCCACACCAAAGCAAGGUGAUAAGUUCAAAAGAGAACGAUAGACGCCACUAGCACGCUAGAUAAGUCAGAUCGAAACUCGUACGAAUUUAGAGAGGAGAAAACUCACUCUUUGAACAAAGUUCAUUCAAAUGAUCAAAAGUCAAAAGUCCUUUUACAAUGAAAAUGAACAACUAUUUAUAGUGUUCAGCUAGGUAGCCGAAUGGCCAAAACAAAGACUUAAUGUCUAAGUAAUUAAUUAGGCUAGAAAAAUGCUAGAAAAUUUUGGAAAUAAAAAACUAAAUUGCUGGAGCUAAAUUCAGCUGAAUUUGAAGCUCAAGGGACGAUUUCUAGAAGAGCAAAUGCACUUGGAGAAAUGGCAGCAGCUAGGUUCAGCCAAUUGAGCUUAAAUGAGCUCAUUAAAAUGUAAUUCUUGGCUGAAAAGAGACCAGCAUUAAAGGUGAACGUGAACAGCCUUGAAGGAGUGAAAAAGGAGUUGGAAAAGUCUUUGGAAGUGUGAACAAUGAUCAGCCAAAUGGUCCUUGGUGUGAACUCCAAAUGUGAACGCAUAGGUGCUGUUUUGGGAAGUGCAUCGGCCAGCUUUUGGAGAAUGAAUUUAGUUGCUCUUCAUGGCUGAAUUAACACCUUGAAUUAUCAUAAAAUGAGCCAUAUCCAUGAAUCCAACCAUUCAUGUAUUCAGCCAUUCAUGUAUAGUCCCAUACGUUGUAUUGAACCAUUCAUGCACUUGGACUUUAAUGCUCCUUCAUGCAUUCAGCCAUCCUACAAGAAAAAAAACAUGAACUAAAUUAAGUGCAAAUGUAUAUUCGGCUGAACUAAAUGGUAUUAAGACAAAUUAAAUAUAAUCCAGCCACCUAAUUAAAUUCGGCUAACACAACAUAAUUAUAACAUGUAAUAAGCUGACAAGUAAUUAAGAGCUGUAACUAAAUUAACUAAUUAACUUAAAUAAUUAAUUUAUUCCAGCAAAUAAAAUUAAUUUAGCUAAAGAGCUAAUAAUGAGCUGAAUUGAAUUUAAACCAAGCUCAAACGAGCUGAAUUAAGCUCAUGUGAGCUAAAAUAAAAUUUGGUGAGCUGAACCAAGCUAAAUGGAGCUUGAGGAGCUGAAUUCAAGCUGAAAUCAAGGGCAUCCUUGGCCAGGGUCGUAUCAAUUCUCUUCAUUAAAUCAGCCUUGAGAAUCCUAAUGUUCAGCAGCAGCAUUAGUGAUGUUUUGGCACACAAAACAGCUUCUUUGGGUAGUGUAAAGUUCAGCCUUGAAGAGAGGAAACGCCAAGCAUGUUGUUGGCCGAAUGGCUACUUGAAAAUACCAACCAGCAGCCCUUUGAUGUUCACGAAAAUAGCACUUUUAAUGCUUCAUGUAUUCUCUUUUCAGCAGCUAAUUAAUGGACUUCCCUUGCAUGCUGGACAACUCCUUU
This 5731-nucleotide long non-coding RNA is filed under the name Gossypium barbadense (sea-island cotton). RNAcentral describes it as "long non-coding RNA (GBAR_LNC001544)". Lineage: Eukaryota; Viridiplantae; Streptophyta; Magnoliopsida; Malvales; Malvaceae. The record is from RNAcentral.